CCUACGGGAGGCAGCAGUGGGGAAUAUUGGACAAUGGGCGAAAGCCUGAUCCAGCCAUGCCGCGUGUGUGAAGAAGGUCUUCGGAUUGUAAAGCACUUUAAGUUGGGAGGAAGGGYAGUAACUUAAUACGUUGCUACUUUGACGUUACCGACAGAAUAAGCACCG
Molecule: ribosomal RNA, 165 nt
Filed under: uncultured bacterium
Lineage: Bacteria
Description: partial 16S ribosomal RNA
Rfam family: Bacterial small subunit ribosomal RNA
Source: RNAcentral